RNAcentral lists this ribosomal RNA (681 nucleotides) under uncultured marine eukaryote. RNAcentral describes it as "SSU rRNA". It matches the Rfam family "Eukaryotic small subunit ribosomal RNA", at positions 614 to 1294 of the family's 1831-position model. The record is from RNAcentral.
UGCGGUUAAAAAGCUCGUAGUUGGAUCUCGGCGGGCAGGGGGUGGUUCGCUCUUCAGCGCUACUGCCCCGCUUUGCCCGUGUGAUUGGCGGAGGUUUCGGGGUGCUCUUCGUUGAGUGACUCGGAGCGCCGUCAGGUUUACUUUGAAAAAAUUAGAGUGCUCAAAGCAGGCUUUUCACGCUUGAAUAUUCGUGCAUGGAAUAAUGGAAUAGGAACUCGUUUCUAUUUUGUUGGUUUUCGGAAAUCGAGUUAAUGAUUAACAGGGACAAUUGGGGGCAUUAGUAUUCAGACGACAGAGGUGAAAUUCUUGGACCGUCUGAAGACUGACUACUGCGAAAGCAUUUGCCAAGAGUGUUUUCAUUAAUCAAGAACGAAAGUUAGAGGUUCGAAGGCGAUCAGAUACCGCCCUAGUUCUAACCAUAAACGAUGCCAGCUAGCGAUCUGCCGAGUUUUUUUUGUAGGCUCCGCAGGAAGCUUUCGGGAAACCAAAGCUUUUGGGUUCCGGGGGAAGUAUGGUUGCAAAGCUGAAACUUAAAGGAAUUGACGGAAGGGCACCACCAGGAGUGGAGCCUGCGGCUUAAUUUGACUCAACACGGGAAAUCUCACCAGGCCCGGACACUGGAAGGAUUGACAGAUUGAGAGCUCUUUCUCGAUUCGGUGGGUGGUGGUGCAUGGCCGUUCU